RNAcentral lists this ribosomal RNA (433 nucleotides) under uncultured bacterium. RNAcentral describes it as "partial 16S ribosomal RNA". It matches the Rfam family "Bacterial small subunit ribosomal RNA", at positions 29 to 507 of the family's 1533-position model. The record is from RNAcentral.
AACGAACGCUGGCGGCAUGCCUAACACAUGCAAGUCGAACGAGACCUUCGGGUCUAGUGGCGCACGGGUGCGUAACGCGUGGGAACCUUCCCUUAGGUUCGGCCUAACUCCCCGACAGGGGUGCUAAUACCGGAUAAUGUCUUCUGACCAAAGAUUUAUCGCCUUUGGAUGUGCCCGCGUUGGAUUAGCUUGUUGUUAGGGUAAUAGCCUACCACGGCGACGAUCCAUAGCUGGUCUGAGAGGAUGAUCAGCCACACUGGGACUGAGACACGGCCCAGACUCCUACGGGAGGGAGGAGAGGGGAAUAGAGGACAAUGGGCGAAGGGAUGAAGCAGCAAGGACGGGUGAGCGAUGAAGGUAUUAGGGUUGUAAAGCGCUUGUAACCGGGAUGAUAAUGACAGUACCGGGAGAAUAAGCUCCGGCUAACUACGUG